Corapipo altera (White-ruffed manakin) is the source of this 3161-nucleotide RNA transcript. It is a transcript of the gene named transmembrane protein 241, with no coding region annotated. The transcript is spliced from 16 exons. The record is from RefSeq and is a predicted model, not a curated record. NCBI's taxonomy places the organism in Eukaryota, Metazoa, Chordata, Aves, Passeriformes, Pipridae.
GGCGCCCAGCGGAGCGGCGGCGGCGCGACGUGUCGCUGCCAUGGCCGACGGGCGCCGCCGGCGGGGGCGGCGGUGACAGAUGUAUUUGAAGAGGCCGGCGGGCGGCCUCGCCUUCUGCCUCUUCUACCUGGCGUCCUGCUUCACCAACAAGUAUGUCCUGUCUGUCCUGCAAUUUACCUACCCUACCCUUUUUCAAGGGUGGCAAACAUUAGUGGGUGGACUUUUGCUUCACCUCUCAUGGAAGCUGGGUUGGGUGGAGAUAAACCUGUGUUCGAGGUCUGAAAUCCUGUCAUGGCUUCCUGCCUCAGUACUUUUUGUGGGCAUCAUUUAUGCUGGCUCUAGGUCACUGUCUAGAUUGCCAAUCCCGGUGUUCCUCACGGUGCACAAUGCAGCAGAAGUUAUAACCUGUGGGUUCCAGAAGUUUGUGCAGAAAGAGCAGACCUCUCAUCUGAAAGUCUGUAGUGUGCUGUUCCUCCUGGCAGCAGCAGUGUGCCUUCCUUUGUGUGACACACAGUUUGAUCCAAAUGGUUAUUUAUGGGCUCUAAUUCACUUGGUCUGUGUUGGGGCUUACAAAGUAUUUCACAAGUUGUGGAAACCUGGCUCCUUAAGUGAUCUGGACCAACAGUACAUCAACUAUGUAUUCAGUGUGGUGCUGUUGGCCUCUGCGUCCCAUCCAGCAGGUGAUCUCUUCAGUGCCUUGGACUUUCCAUUCCUGUACUUCUACAGGUUUCAUAGCAGCUGCUGUGCCAGUGGACUGUUGGGAUUCUUUCUGAUGUUGCACACAGCAAAGCUAAAAAGCAGCACAACCUCAGGGCAAUAUGCAGCCUGGAGUUUCCUUGCAAAGGUUAUCACUACUAGCUUAUCACCAUUCUUCUUUGCCAUGACCGCCAAUGUACUAACAAUUUCUUGUGCUAGGAAUACACGUGAUCUGUGUGUAAGAGACUAAACUACUAUCAAUGUACCCACAACACUCCUAGUCUAGGCCAUUAACUUGCUGCUCUUCACCAUGUUUUACAUGUGUUUGUGCAGGUCUAUCAUGUGCGUGCUAGAGGUAGGCUUGGAUUAAAUAUAUGUAUUCACUGAUACGUAUACUAAAAAAUAAUGUGUACCUUUGUUAAUGUGAGCAUGUAGACCCAUAUAGUUGCACACAUACCACAUGCCCUGUAUGUACUUCAAGUUAUAUAAAUGAUGACACUUCUGUAUGUUUAAGAGAAACUUUGCUUUAGCCCUGUUACACUUUGAUUGUCAUAAUUCAAACAGAAAACCAUUUCUUUUAUUUAUUUUUUUAAUUUGAAUUCUCAUAUUGCUUGUGCAUCGGCAGUGUCCUGGUUUAUCAGCAAAACUUUGGGAAUAGUUUGUUAGAUGAUAGCAGCUGCAAAACACUCAUGAGAUCAUUAAUCACUGAGGAUUUUAGUGUUGGUUCAGUGUUGUCAUGGACAAUAUCAUAUGUUAAUUUUUGAAUGACAGGCAAAUGCAGUUAGCUGUCACCCCACUAUAAACAGAAGCUGAAGGAUUUGCCAGAUGGUAAAUUGAAGGUAAAUCAAGGGUUGGCAUUUAGCCGUGGUUUUUGCUCUGCUUUAUCUUGAAGAUAUAACAAUGGUUUCUAGUGGCCUAGUAAUCUGGAUUCUUCUUCUCUUAUGUAGGAUGUAUGAUAUUAAAGAACAGUUUAGAUGCAGGCAUCUUUUUACAGAGUGGGGCUGAGCAGUUUACUAUCUUUUGUACAGAAUUGCCAGUCUAAUUUUUAGGAUGGUAUGUCAAAGUUAGGUUGGUUUUUUAAAGUCUCUGUUAAAAAUUUGGAAAAUUACUCUGUGGAAAUGAGGAAAAAAAAUUUCUAAGUCUCUGUUGAUUUUAGGUCUUCUACAGGAAGUGUUUUGGUUUGGGUUUUUUUUUCUUCAGGAUAAAGAAUACAUUAUCCAACCUUAGUUUCCAAAGAAAUUAAUGCAGAGUGUAUGUUUAUAACUGGAGAUGAAAUCCAGGCAAGACAGUGGGGUUAACCCUCUCCAAAGGAAAGCACUCGGAGGUUGUUAGUGGUCGCAGCCAACCAGACUCAGGUGGUUUAGAUCUUUUCGAAAAACUUGCAGCCCUCUCAGCCCUUUGCUCCUUGCUGGUAAUUCCACACCAAAGGUAGUCUCCCCAGUGGACUGUCUACAGACUGUCUGUAGCACCUACUUUCCAGGGCUGUUUACUGUGUAAUUGUAAGAUACUGUGCUGUUGUUAUACAAUAUUUUUUCCCUCUCAGGAACAAGGGCAAUUAUGUGUUUUUUAAAACAGCUCACUAAAGCUACGAUUUAAGUGAAUGUAAUACUAUUAGACCAAAGAGCCUUCAGCUUUACAUGCCUUUUUUUUAUCUUCCCAAGGAAAAAAAAAAGCCCUCUUACAAAUGAACUUAACAGGAGUUUGUUUUGUUUAUAAAGUUCAUUAAGGAGCUUUUCUGUUUCAUAAGCUAAUUAAGCCAUGAGGCCAAGAUGAAAGCCUUGUAAUCAGUGGAGUUGGAGAAGCAUUGCUUGUUUACACUGAAAGGACAGGCACAUAAAGAGGAACCAGAUUUCACCAGCUGGAAAAGAGCUGACUUGCAGCCUAGAGACACUAUGAUGAAAAAAAUUGCGGCAGCAGGAAUGAAGAAGUGCAACCAAACAUGAGGAAAGAGAUCUAUUGUUUUUUCAUUAAGAAAGAAAAGCUAUGCUAUUAAUAGUGCUGGUAAGGAGGCUGCAUAGUUGGCAAGAUGAUAAGGAGCCUUUGCCUCAAAGCACAAGACAAACUAUAUCAGAUUGAUGUGGUAAAGGAAAAAAAUGCACUGUCUCAUGCUGAUGGCUCUGUGUGAGAACCUCUCAGUGGCAGCUUCUUGCACAGGGAACUAAACUCAGGAAAAGCAACAUUCCACACUGGAUGCCCCCAGUUUUUUUUGUUGGAAGCUGACAGCAGGUCAUACCAAGCAAUGUCAGAGCCCAGAUCCUGCCAUAAAUUCAGGAUCCGGAAGGACGGAUUUUGUCUCCAACUGUUCUGUAAGCAGCAAGCUGCCACACACAGGUCUCUGGUCACGUCGUCUGAACUGGCACAGGGACUGAGGCCAAGGGGCUUCUGGAGAUAAUCCCCUUCUGGAACUGCAGCAGUUUGACAGCUUUGCAGAAAGGGAAAAUCAGCAAUAAAUCUCAAUAUCUGUA